GGCCUACGGGACGCAGCAGUGGGGAAUAUUGCACAAUGGGGGAAACCCUGAUGCAGCAACGCCGCGUGAGUGAAGAAGGUUUUCGGAUUGUAAAGCUCUGUUAGCAGGGAAGAGGAAGGACGGUACCUGCAGAGGAAGCCACGGCUAACUACGUGCCAGCAGCCGCGGUAAUACGUAGGUGGCAAGCGUUGUUCGGAAUAACUGGGUGUAAAGGGAGCGCAGGCGGGAAGCCAAGUCAGCUGUGAAAACUACGGGCUUAACUUGUAGACUGCAGUUGAAACUGGUUUUCUUGAGUGAAGUAGGGG
This 305-nucleotide ribosomal RNA is filed under the name uncultured bacterium. Its description in RNAcentral is "bacterial SSU rRNA". It matches the Rfam family "Bacterial small subunit ribosomal RNA", at positions 335 to 657 of the family's 1533-position model. The record is from RNAcentral.